GCACCUCAUUUACACCGAGUAAUUCUCUGUUCAAAUCAGAUUACCCUGACGCCUAACAGCUAGCCUCCUCAAUCAAAUUUUAUUAUUAGCUAAAUUAUAACUCGUAAUACAAUUAAAUAAAUCAUUUUACCCCUUAGUAUGGGCGACAAAAAAGGAAAAAAGAGCAAUAGAUAAAGUACCGCAAGGGAACGCUGAAAAAGAAAUGAAAAAAACCAUUUAAGCCCUAAAUAGCAGAGCCAACCCCUCGUACCUUUUGCAUCAUGAUUUAGCAAGUAAAACACAAGCAAAGAGACCUUUAGUUUGUGACCCCGAAACUGAGCGAGCUACUCCAAGACAGCCUAUUGGGCGAACCCGUCUCUGUUGCAAAAGAGUGGAAAGAGCUUCGAGUAGAGGUGACAAAUCUAUCGAGCCCAGUUAUAGCUGGUUGCCUGAGAAAUGAAUAAAGUUCAGCCCUCUAAGUCCUUCCCCAAUCACCCGCGCUCUACGCUUUUAAGACUAAGGAAACUAGAGGAGUUAGUCAAAAGAGGAACAGCUCUUCUGACAAAAGAAACAACUU
This 556-nucleotide ribosomal RNA is filed under the name Squalogadus modificatus (tadpole whiptail). RNAcentral describes it as "partial 12S ribosomal RNA". The stretch from base 230 to 556 matches the Rfam family "Bacterial large subunit ribosomal RNA", at positions 569 to 1028 of the family's 2925-position model. The record is from RNAcentral. Lineage: Eukaryota; Metazoa; Chordata; Actinopteri; Gadiformes; Macrouridae.